CGCCGUUAUACGGAAGGUGCGGGCGUUAUCCGGAUUCACUGGGUUUAAAGGGUGCGUAGGUAGAUCUGUAAGUCAAUGGUGAAAUCUGCGGGCUUAACUCGGAAACUGCCGUUGAUACUAUGUGUCUUGAAUGUAGUGGAUGUGAGCGGAAUGUGUCAUGUAGCGGUGAAAUGCUUAUAUAUGACAUAGAACACCGGUUGCGAAGGCAGCUCGCUACACUAUUACUGACGCUGAGGCACGGAAGCGUGGGGAUCGAACUCGAUUAGAUACCCUGGUAGUCCACGCCCUAAACGAUGGAUACUCGACAUCAGCGAUACACAGUUGGUGUCUGAGCGAAAGCAUUAAGUAUCCCACCUGGGAAGUACGACCGCAAGGUUG
This 378-nucleotide ribosomal RNA is filed under the name uncultured Chitinophagaceae bacterium. RNAcentral describes it as "bacterial SSU rRNA". It matches the Rfam family "Bacterial small subunit ribosomal RNA", at positions 516 to 896 of the family's 1533-position model. Lineage: Bacteria; Pseudomonadati; Bacteroidota; Chitinophagia; Chitinophagales; Chitinophagaceae. The record is from RNAcentral.